GUAUUUUCUGCAAGUCAUGCUGCCUCAACAAGAAAGUGGUUUCAAGCAUGAUAUUCCUGAACAAAAGACAGAUUGGUACAAAAACAGCUUCCUGCAGUUAAGGGUAAUGAAAUUUUGAGUGGAUAUAUCUCUGAUUUCCACAGUAAAAGA
Molecule: long non-coding RNA, 150 nt
Organism: Octopus sinensis (East Asian common octopus)
Lineage: Eukaryota; Metazoa; Mollusca; Cephalopoda; Octopoda; Octopodidae
Exons: 3
Source: RefSeq, a predicted model, not a curated record